CCCGUUUACAUAUAAGAGGGUCCAAGCCUGCCCAGUGAAAAAUUUUAACGGCCGCGGUAUCCUAACCGUGCGAAGGUAGCGUAAUCACUUGUUCUUUAAAUCAGGACUAGUAUGAAUGGCACCACGAAGGUUAUACUGUCUCCCCUUUUUAAUCAGUGAAACUAAUCUCCCCGUGAAGAAGCGGGAAUAAAACUAUAAGACGAGAAGACCCUAUGGAGCUUUAGACUACAUAACAAUUGCUAUCUAUUUACUUAUCCCCCGGGAACUCAAUUAUAUUAAUUCAUAUUGAUUACUAGUCUUAGGUUGGGGUGACCGCGGAGUAAAAUACAACCUCCAUGAUGAAAGAAACUUAAUUUCUUAACCCAGAGUUACAACUCUAAGUACCAAAAAUUUGACAUAAAUUGACCCAAUAAUUUGAUCAACGAACCAAGUUACCCUAGGGAUAACAGCGCAAUCUACUUCAAGAGUCCCUAUCGACAAGUAGGUUUACGACCUCGAUGUUGGAUCAGGGUAUCCUAGUGGUGCAGCCGCUACUAAAGGUUCGUUUGUUCAACGAUUAAAACCCUACGUGAUCUGAGUUCAGACCGGA
RNAcentral lists this ribosomal RNA (589 nucleotides) under Physalaemus cuvieri (barker frog). Its description in RNAcentral is "partial 16S ribosomal RNA". It matches the Rfam family "Bacterial large subunit ribosomal RNA", at positions 1832 to 2620 of the family's 2925-position model. Lineage: Eukaryota; Metazoa; Chordata; Amphibia; Anura; Leptodactylidae. The record is from RNAcentral.